AUGAAUAUAGAAUCAGUUGUCAUAGAGGAAGACAGCGAAGAAGAUGAAGCAAAAGCGGAAGAAAAUGAAGCAGAAGAAGUAGUCGUUCGUCCUAGGAGGAAGUUGACAUCUCCUGUUUGGAAGGAGUUUAAGAAAGUAAAAGUGAUGAACAGAAUGAAGGCCAAGUGUAACUGGUGCUCAAAGAAGCUUGGAGGGGAACCAAGAAAUGGAACGAAGCAUCUCCUUGACCAUUUAAAGAUUGUACAUGGAAAGAAGGUUUAG
RNAcentral lists this ribosomal RNA (261 nucleotides) under Triticum aestivum (bread wheat). RNAcentral's name for it is "partial small subunit ribosomal RNA". The record is from RNAcentral. Lineage: Eukaryota; Viridiplantae; Streptophyta; Magnoliopsida; Poales; Poaceae.